GCUGGACGUGGUGGCGCAUGCCUGUAGUUCCAGCUACUUGGGAAGCUGAGACAGAAGAAUCGCUUGAAUCUAGGAGGCGGAGGUUGCAGUGAGCCGGGAUUGGGCCACUGCACUCCAGCCUGGGUGACAGAGCGAGAUUCUGUCUCUC
Molecule: unclassified non-coding RNA, 148 nt
Organism: Macaca mulatta (Rhesus monkey)
Lineage: Eukaryota; Metazoa; Chordata; Mammalia; Primates; Cercopithecidae
Rfam family: Metazoan signal recognition particle RNA
About the family: The signal recognition particle (SRP) is a universally conserved ribonucleoprotein. It is involved in the co-translational targeting of proteins to membranes. The eukaryotic SRP consists of a 300-nucleotide 7S RNA and six proteins: SRPs 72, 68, 54, 19, 14, and 9.
Source: Ensembl